This 912-nucleotide small RNA is filed under the name Histoplasma ohiense. Its description in RNAcentral is "hypothetical lncRNA". The record is from RNAcentral. Lineage: Eukaryota; Fungi; Ascomycota; Eurotiomycetes; Onygenales; Ajellomycetaceae.
AGGCGGGGAUAGGCGGCGGGGGUCCUGGUGGGGUAGAGCGUGCGCAAGAGAUGGUGGAUGUAGGGGAGGUGGAGCUCUAGGCUAUGUUCGGCGGAGUCGACGGGCGGGCUCAUCGUGGUGAAGUGCGGGUUGGUGGAGGUGGUGGAGAGGAGGUGGGUGAUUAGGUCUGUGUCAAGGGGCAGUGGGUCCGGGGAGAGAGGGGUUUUGUAGCUGGUUAGUUGCGGGAGGGCGAGGGUGGAGAGGUGGUGGUGGUGAGAGGGGCCGAGGAGGAAGAUGCGUUUCCUGUUGUUUGUUUGUUUGUUUGUUGUUGGUUAGUUACAUGUUGAGAGUUUCUUUUUAUAAUAUGGUUUAGAUAGAGGUGGACAUACGCUUUGGAGAGGUCCAGCGCCUUAUAAGCCCAUGCAGCACACGGUCCAGAGUAUGCGUAGCCAGCGUGACUGCUCAUCCAUAUAGACGGUGGUGACAUUAGCAGAUGGAUGAGGAAAAGGCCAUCAAGGGCAGGAUGCACAGGAAGAGCACGGAAGCAUACGGUGCAAUGAUGACUCUAGCUCCCGCGAUGGGGAGUGGGCCGAUGCCAGGCAGCUCGUCUGGGACCUGAGCAAGCCAUUUCUCCAGCUGGCUCGAGAGGGUUGGCUCGUGGUCUGAGUACCAGGACCCGGCAUGCGUUGCUUCUCUGGAGGGCAUUCUGGACUGGGUCGUAGGCGAUGUUGUGUUCGGGAUUGCUCGUUGAUAGCACACUUGGUUGGGCGGAGUUGGUGAUGAAGAGCCGCGGAAGACGGACUGGACUGUGGUUGGUGGGGUUUGUGCCCAUGACGUAGGGGCUGCUGACUCAACGCUCCCCCGCCAUUUUUAUGGAGCAAAACAUUUUCCUUGUACGCAGCGUAUGUAUUAUUAUUUAUAUUAGAGUCAGGC